This 2903-nucleotide ribosomal RNA is filed under the name Enterobacter cancerogenus YZ1. RNAcentral's name for it is "bacterial LSU rRNA". It matches the Rfam family "Bacterial large subunit ribosomal RNA". Lineage: Bacteria; Pseudomonadati; Pseudomonadota; Gammaproteobacteria; Enterobacterales; Enterobacteriaceae. The record is from RNAcentral.
UUAAGCGACUAAGCGUACACGGUGGAUGCCCUGGCAGUCAGAGGCGAUGAAGGACGUGCUAAUCUGCGAAAAGCGCCGGCGAGGUGAUAUGAACCCUUGACCCGGCGAUGUCCGAAUGGGGAAACCCAGUGCAAUUCGUUGCACUAUCGUUAACUGAAUACAUAGGUUAACGAGGCGAACCGGGGGAACUGAAACAUCUAAGUACCCCGAGGAAAAGAAAUCAACCGAGAUUCCCCCAGUAGCGGCGAGCGAACGGGGAGCAGCCCGGAGUCUGAAUCAGCUUGUGUGUUAGUGGAACGGUCUGGAAAGUCCGACGGUACAGGGUGAUAGUCCCGUACACGAAAGCACACAUGCUGUGAACUCGAAGAGUAGGGCGGGACACGUGGUAUCCUGUCUGAAUAUGGGGGGACCAUCCUCCAAGGCUAAAUACUCCUGACUGACCGAUAGUGAACCAGUACCGUGAGGGAAAGGCGAAAAGAACCCCGGCGAGGGGAGUGAAAAAGAACCUGAAACCGUGUACGUACAAGCAGUGGGAGCCUCUUUAUGGGGUGACUGCGUACCUUUUGUAUAAUGGGUCAGCGACUUAUAUUCUGUAGCAAGGUUAACCGUAUAGGGGAGCCGAAGGGAAACCGAGUCUUAACUGGGCGUUAAGUUGCAGGGUAUAGACCCGAAACCCGGUGAUCUAGCCAUGGGCAGGUUGAAGGUUGGGUAACACUAACUGGAGGACCGAACCGACUAAUGUUGAAAAAUUAGCGGAUGACCUGUGGCUGGGGGUGAAAGGCCAAUCAAACCGGGAGAUAGCUGGUUCUCCCCGAAAGCUAUUUAGGUAGCGCCUCGUGAACUCAUCUUCGGGGGUAGAGCACUGUUUCGGCUAGGGGGCCAUCCCGGCUUACCAACCCGAUGCAAACUACGAAUACCGAAGAAUGUUAUCACGGGAGACACACGGCGGGUGCUAACGUCCGUCGUGAAGAGGGAAACAACCCAGACCGCCAGCUAAGGUCCCAAAGUCAUGGUUAAGUGGGAAACGAUGUGGGAAGGCACAGACAGCCAGGAUGUUGGCUUAGAAGCAGCCAUCAUUUAAAGAAAGCGUAAUAGCUCACUGGUCGAGUCGGCCUGCGCGGAAGAUGUAACGGGGCUAAACCAUGCACCGAAGCUGCGGCAGCGACACUAUGUGUUGUUGGGUAGGGGAGCGUUCUGUAAGCCGUUGAAGGUGUGCUGUGAGGCAUGCUGGAGGUAUCAGAAGUGCGAAUGCUGACAUAAGUAACGAUAAAGCGGGUGAAAAGCCCGCUCGCCGGAAGACCAAGGGUUCCUGUCCAACGUUAAUCGGGGCAGGGUGAGUCGACCCCUAAGGCGAGGCCGAAAGGCGUAGUCGAUGGGAAACAGGUUAAUAUUCCUGUACUUGGUGUUACUGCGAAGGGGGGACGGAGAAGGCUAUGUCAGCCGGGCGACGGUUGUCCCGGUUUAAGCAUGUAGGCGGAGGUUCCAGGUAAAUCCGGUACCUUUUUAACGCUGAGGUGUGAUGACGAGGCACUACGGUGCUGAAGUGAUAAAUGCCCUGCUUCCAGGAAAAGCCUCUAAGCAUCAGGUAACACGAAAUCGUACCCCAAACCGACACAGGUGGUCAGGUAGAGAAUACCAAGGCGCUUGAGAGAACUCGGGUGAAGGAACUAGGCAAAAUGGUGCCGUAACUUCGGGAGAAGGCACGCUGAUGUGUAGGUGAAGCCCCUGCGGGCGGAGCUGAAAUCAGUCGAAGAUACCAGCUGGCUGCAACUGUUUAUUAAAAACACAGCACUGUGCAAACACGAAAGUGGACGUAUACGGUGUGACGCCUGCCCGGUGCCGGAAGGUUAAUUGAUGGGGUUAGCGGCAACGCGAAGCUCUUGAUCGAAGCCCCGGUAAACGGCGGCCGUAACUAUAACGGUCCUAAGGUAGCGAAAUUCCUUGUCGGGUAAGUUCCGACCUGCACGAAUGGCGUAAUGAUGGCCAGGCUGUCUCCACCCGAGACUCAGUGAAAUUGAACUCGCUGUGAAGAUGCAGUGUACCCGCGGCAAGACGGAAAGACCCCGUGAACCUUUACUAUAGCUUGACACUGAACACUGGUCCUUGAUGUGUAGGAUAGGUGGGAGGCUUUGAAGCGUGGACGCCAGUCUGCGUGGAGCCGACCUUGAAAUACCACCCUUUAAUGGCUGGUGUUCUAACGUAGACCCGUAAUCCGGGUUGCGGACAGUGUCUGGUGGGUAGUUUGACUGGGGCGGUCUCCUCCCAAAGAGUAACGGAGGAGCACGAAGGUUGGCUAAUCCUGGUCGGACAUCAGGAGGUUAGUGCAAUGGCAUAAGCCAGCUUGACUGCGAGCGUGACGGCGCGAGCAGGUGCGAAAGCAGGUCAUAGUGAUCCGGUGGUUCUGAAUGGAAGGGCCAUCGCUCAACGGAUAAAAGGUACUCCGGGGAUAACAGGCUGAUACCGCCCAAGAGUUCAUAUCGACGGCGGUGUUUGGCACCUCGAUGUCGGCUCAUCACAUCCUGGGGCUGAAGUAGGUCCCAAGGGUAUGGCUGUUCGCCAUUUAAAGUGGUACGCGAGCUGGGUUUAGAACGUCGUGAGACAGUUCGGUCCCUAUCUGCCGUGGGCGCUGGAGAAUUGAGGGGGGCUGCUCCUAGUACGAGAGGACCGGAGUGGACGCAUCACUGGUGUUCGGGUUGUCAUGCCAAUGGCACUGCCCGGUAGCUAAAUGCGGAAGAGAUAAGUGCUGAAAGCAUCUAAGCACGAAACUUGCCCCGAGAUGAGUUCUCCCUGAGACUUUAAGUCUCCUGAAGGAACGUUGAAGACGACGACGUUGAUAGGUCGGGUGUGUAAGCGCAGCGAUGCGUUGAGCUAACCGAUACUAAUGAACCGUGAGGCUUAACCUU